AUGCAAGUCGAACGAACUUAACCAUUAGUUUACUAUUGGAGCGGUUAGUGGCGGACUGGUGAGUAACACGUAAGCAACCUGCCUAUCAGAGGGGAACAACAGUUAGAAAUGACUGCUAAUACCGCAUAUGCCUUAGAAUCACAUGGUUCAAAAGGGAAAGGAGCAAUCCGCUGAUAGAUGGGCUUGCGUCUGAUUAGCUAGUUGGUGGGGUAACGGCCUACCAAGGCGACGAUCAGUAGCCGAACUGAGAGGUUGAACGGCCACAUUGGGACUGAGAUACGGCCCAGACUCCUACGGGAGGCAGCAGUCGGGAAUAUUGCGCAAUGGAGGAAACUCUGAUGCAGUGACGCCGCGUGCAGGAAGAAGGUUUUCGGAUUGUAAACUGCUUUAGACAGGGAAGAACAAAGACAGUACCUGUAGAAUAAGCUCCGGCUAACUACGUGCCAGCAGCCGCGGUAAUACGUAGGGAGCGAGCGUUAUCCGGAUUUAUUGGGUGUAAAGGGUGCGUAGACGGGAAGUCAAGUUAGUUGUGAAAUCCCUCGGCUUAACUGAGGAACUGCAACUAAAACUGAUUU
RNAcentral lists this ribosomal RNA (575 nucleotides) under uncultured bacterium. Its description in RNAcentral is "bacterial SSU rRNA". It matches the Rfam family "Bacterial small subunit ribosomal RNA", at positions 55 to 639 of the family's 1533-position model. The record is from RNAcentral.